GGAAUAAUUGUUGGAAACGGCAACUAAUACCGUAUACGCCCUACGGGGGAAAAAUUUAUUGCUAUUAGAUGAGCCUAUAUUAGAUUAGCUAGUUGGUGGAGUAAUAGCCUACCAAGGCAAUGAUCUAUAGCUGAUCUGAGAGGAUGAUCAGCCACACUGGAACUGAGAUACGGUCCAGACUCCUACGGGAGGCAGCAGUGGGGAAUAUUGGACAAUGGGCGAAAGCCUGAUCCAGCCAUGCCGCAUGAGUGAAGAAGGCCUUUGGGUUGUAAAGCUCUUUUAGUGAGGAAGAUAAUGACGGUACUCACAGAAGAAGUCCUGGCUAACUCCGUGCCAGCAGCCGCGGUAAUACGGAGAGGGCUAGCGUUAUUCGGAAUUAUUGGGCGUAAAGGGCGCGUAGGCUGAUUAAUAAGUUAAAAGUGAAAUCCCAAGGCUUAACCUUGGAACUGCUUUUAAAACUAUUAAUCUAGAGAUUGAAAGAGGAUAGAGGAAUUCCUGAUGUAGAGGUAAAAUUCGUAAAUAUUAGGAGGAACACCAGUGGCGAAGGCGUCUAUCUGGUUCAAAUCUGACGCUGAGGCGCGAAGGCGUGGGGAGCAAACAGGAUUAGAUACCCUGGUAGUCCACGCUGUAAACGAUGAAUGUUAAAUAUGGGAAGUUUACUUUCUGUAUUACAGCUAACGCGUUAAACAUUCCGCCUGGGGACUACGGUCGCAAGAUUAAAACUCAAAGGAAUUGACGGGGACCCGCACAAGCGGUGGAGCAUGUGGUUUAAU
RNAcentral lists this ribosomal RNA (773 nucleotides) under Wolbachia endosymbiont of Atlantoscia floridana. Its description in RNAcentral is "bacterial SSU rRNA". It matches the Rfam family "Bacterial small subunit ribosomal RNA", at positions 140 to 950 of the family's 1533-position model. The record is from RNAcentral. Lineage: Bacteria; Pseudomonadati; Pseudomonadota; Alphaproteobacteria; Rickettsiales; Anaplasmataceae.